CCCUUAGAUGUUCUGGGCCGCACGCGUGCUACACUGAGUGGAUCAGCGGGUCAGGUUACGCGAGAGCGUUUCCUAAUCUUCAAAUCCACUCGUGAUGGGGAUUGACGGUUGCAAUUUUCCGUCAUGAACGAGGAAUACCUUGUAAGCGCGGGUCAUCAUCCCGCGCUGAAUACGUCCCUGCCCUUUGUACACACCGCCCGUCGCUCCUACCGAUUGAGUGGUCCGGUGAGGCUUUGGGAUCUAAGCGAAAAGAGCGUUUCGCUCCUUUUGCUGGGAGAACUCAGUCGAACCUUAUCAUUUAGAGGAAGGAGAAGUCGUAACA
RNAcentral lists this ribosomal RNA (322 nucleotides) under uncultured eukaryote. RNAcentral describes it as "partial 18S ribosomal RNA". It matches the Rfam family "Eukaryotic small subunit ribosomal RNA", at positions 1470 to 1796 of the family's 1831-position model. The record is from RNAcentral.